Long non-coding RNA from Triticum aestivum (bread wheat), 600 nucleotides. RefSeq lists it as uncharacterized. Lineage: Eukaryota; Viridiplantae; Streptophyta; Magnoliopsida; Poales; Poaceae. The transcript has 2 exons. The record is from RefSeq and is a predicted model, not a curated record.
ACUAGCCCACGCACGCACUGAAUAUCCCCCCAUCGGCCAUCGUCUCCUCGUCUCGCGCACGCUGCACGCACAGGCACACUCACGCCUUCCCCAAUUCCCCAUCCUCUCAGUCCCAGACUCAUGUAGGUUGUAGCCACGCCGCCGACGACUACCGACGUGGACAGGGAACACGUCCACACGGUCCACCGGAGCGCGCCGCCCGCCAUCUCUCGGAGCAACCGCCAUGGCAACGCCCGCCGGGAUCUCGCCUCGCCCCUGCCCUGCUCCCUCCUGCCGCCCAUCAUCCGCACACUUACACAGGUAGUCGGGAAAGGAAAAUAAGACUCAGAGAAGAAGAAGAUCACUGCACAAUAAGAUGGAAGAUGAGAAUCUGGCUAAUAACUUGUUAGUUCACAUAGAUGGUGGAAUUCUAGAAAACUACAGCCACGAAGAUGUCAUUGCAGAUUUUAUAAACAAGAAGAUCGGAGAGUUGAUUGUAUGUGAGUAGGUCCAUGUCUAAUGUCUCUGACACUUUUGUAUUAUCUAACUCAAUAGUGAAACAUGGUUGAACUGUACUUUGGUACAUAUAUAUAUUAUAUAUAUACAUAUCUGCUAGCUCAA